RNAcentral lists this long non-coding RNA (425 nucleotides) under Mus spicilegus (steppe mouse). RNAcentral's name for it is "lncRNA (ENSMSIG00000028325.1)". Lineage: Eukaryota; Metazoa; Chordata; Mammalia; Rodentia; Muridae. The record is from RNAcentral.
GGAGCAUCUUGGCUGCAGUUUCAGCAAUCACAACGUUUGAAUCCAUCUCUCAUAAUCUGGAUGAGGAUUCAUGGUACCACGGAUAUUUUUUAGACAGGAGCUCAGGUGGAUCGUCUAAUAGCUGAAAUGGCUCCAUAAAUAAACUUCAACUUGAAGGCUCCGUUGGAGUACAUUGCCCAAGUCAGAAUUUUCAAAUUUGUUGUUACAGGAUCUCAAAAUUAUAGGUAUGGAGUGAGUUCCAAAUCAGAAACACACGUCUUUCCAGUUCACUUCGGAUGGUUACAUACCGCUAACUUUUGCAAGAAAUGUACUUUUGAAAAAUGGGAAAAACAGAAGAAAAAAAAGAAGAAGAAGAAGAAAAACAAUCUGGACAAGCAUUUAUGUUUUAAUGAUCCAGGAAGGCUGCAUUGCAGAGUCAAGCUGCA